UAGGGGACUUGGUAUUGAGUGAUACUCUGUGUUAACUUGAAAUACUCUAGGCAGAGCUCCCCCUAGAAAUCCUCUGGGCCGAAAUAAUGUAUUAGGUUCUACCAACUCGUUAUUUUCCAGACAGACUUCCAGGCAGAGCUCGGCUGAACAACCUUUCUAAGCUUGACCUCAAAUCAGGUAGGACUACCCGCUGAACUUAA
Molecule: unclassified non-coding RNA, 200 nt
Filed under: soil metagenome
Description: partial contains internal transcribed spacer 2 and large subunit ribosomal RNA
Source: RNAcentral